AAAAUUAAAACAAAAAAUAAUAAUAUGCAAUAAAAUACUUUUAAGAACAAUUAUGUAAAUAAUUUACACAUAAUCUUCAUGAUUUUAAUUUAAAAUUCAAUGAUUUUCAACAUAUUUUGAAAAAAUAAAUACUAAAGUAAUUAAUCACUACUCUUGUUUUUAAAACUGACAUGGUCAUAAUUUAUUUAUAAUAUUUAUUAACUUAUAAUUUUUAUCAUAGUUAUUAAUUUAAAUAAAUAAAGAGAAUAAAAUAACACAAAAAUAGAAAAUCAUUGUACACUAUAGAGAAAAACAUAAUAAAUUGAAACAAAAUUAUUCACAAAUAAAAAAAUAAUUAGCAAUUCCACCCUGAAAAUAUUUUUAUAUUUCUGUAUUUAUAUAAAAUUUAUACCAACUGAAUUAUCAUAUUUAUUAAUUAAUGUAAUAAAAAUUAAUUUUUAACUGACUCUAUAUGAGCUGAAUAUUGAAAAAAGAAAGUAAAGAAGAGUUUGCAAUAAUAAAAAUUAAUAUUAUGAAAAGGCAAAAACAAGUAAAAAAAAUAAUUAAAAGAUAUAUUUAUUCCAAAAAGAAGAUUGAGGAGAGAGAUUUUUUUAUUUUUUUUAAAAAUAAUUAUGUAAAUAAUUUACAAGUAAUUUAUUAUUGUUAUUAUUAUUAUUAGUUGUCUAUUUAAUUUGAAUUUUGUUCUUAUUUAAAUUUAAAAUAGGCUGAAGAGAAGAGAAAAAGUGGGCUGAGUUAAGAUGCGAGUUAGGGCUGUUGGGCCGAAAAUUUAAAUGUUAGUAAUCUUUGGCCACUGAGAGUGCAGAACUUAUGACCGUUGGGUGGACACUUGGGCUGAAGUAAAAGGAAGGGUAGGACACUAGGGUUUGAGAGACGCCUCUCGGCCGCCUUCUCCCUUCCCCUCUCUUUCGCUGGCCACCGAGGAUUUCAUUUGGAGAAGGCGAAUUGACGGGUGAAAAGCGGGCGGGUGGGAAAUGAGGCAGACGCUUGUUGGGGGAACAGAAGGGGCGGAGACGGAGGAUAUGGGAGGAGGAUGUAGAUUGCUGAUGGAUUUGGGGCGUCCAUGGUUGAGCCGUGGGUGUUUUUUGAAGAUUGAAGGAACAAACCAGAGAUCUGAUCGGAGGAAGCAAGCCGGAUCGAUUAACAGGAAGAUAAAUCCACUACUCCUGUCCGGACGGCCAACUUUCCGGCUGUCGGGAAUUCCGGAAGCUUCCACUCAUGGCGAUGGUUUCUUACAGUGGUUGAAUAUGAAAUGGGAAAAACUUUGUUUAAGUGUCUGAGUUUAGAUGCCUUUUUUUUUACUUUUCUGGUGAUAAGAAGAUUCAUCACUGGAAAUAAAAGCAAGGAAUUUGAUUUUGCUGAAAAAUGGACUUCACAAUUACAGUUUAUAUAGGAGGUGGAGAAGUUGCAUUCACAGGUGCACAAUGGAAAGAACUGGAGAGACAAGCUAUGAUCUACACAUGCAUGAUUUCCUGUGUUCCUGUGCCGCCUCAUCUUCUCUUUCCCCUGCGGUAGUAGAUACAGCAGAAAAGGAGAUCUGGAGCCCGGGUGGUGCAAGAGGACAGACGGGAAGAAAUGGCGGUUUCAUUUGGAGAAGGCUAAGGAGGCGGCGCCGCCUGGUCAGCAUUGACGGUGCAUAUCGACGGGUGAAAAGCGGGCGGGUGGAAAUGAGGCAGACGCUCGUUGGGGGAACAGAAGGGGCGGACGAGGAGGAUAUGGAAGGAGGAGGAUGCAGAUUGCUUAUGGAUUUGGGGCGUCCAUGGUUGAGCCGUGGGUGGCUUCCCAGCGAGAAACUGCUGGUCAGACUUUAGAUCUCAUCAAGUACUUGAUGAAGUUUAAUAUCAGUCCUGGUGAUCUAAUGGAACUUUCACCUCUAUUUUCUGAUGAUAGCCAGAUAGAAAUUGACAAGUUGAGGAACUUCUAUCAAAAGUGGAGCAGUCUCCUCCCAGAACAAUGCAAGAGCUUGAGUUUGUGUCCGGUGGUUCUAUACAGAACAAUGCUCCCAGAACAAUCCAGAGUUGAUAUUAGAUAUAUUGAGUUUGACGGGUGAAAAGCGGGCGGGUGGGAAAUGAGGCAGACGCUUGUUGGGGGAACAGAAGGGGCGGAGACGGAGGAUAUGGGAGGAGGAUGUAGAUUGCUGAUGGAUUUGGGGCGUCCAUGGUUGAGCCGUGGGUGUUUUUUGAAGAUUGAAGGAACAAACCACCCGCUUUUUGCACGAAGAUGACUCUUUAAACAAUCCAGAACAAUGCUCCCAGAACAAUGCAAUCAGAAGUUAUACCGAUCAGAAGUUAUCCAAGAGCUGCACUCUAUAAGAAAGAGAGAGAUUUUCGUGGGUCUUGAUUUAUAUCCUUGACACGCAAAAUUAUAUUAGGAUUUAUGUUAAUGCAAGCAUAUUUGCCAAUUAUUUUACCAUCGUUCCCUGCCAAAAUUUAAUGGCCUUCACUCCAUGAGAUUCCUUCAUGAGAUUUCUGCUAGCUCUGGGGACACUUCUGAUUCAGUAGGAGCAAUUGAGUAGUCUUCACCCUCCAAAGAGCAUCUGUAUCAACCCACAUUUGUACUCUAUUUUACUUUGUCUUCAUAUUUAUCCUUUUGUAUUUCUCUCAAUUAAGCAAGCCAUCUUAGUUAAUUGGUACUACGACUUAUAAUUAUUUCCUGACUUAUCAAGUCAACCUGUUCUCUUUGUGGCUUUUUUUGAUUCUCCCCAUUCAUGGUAUUGUUUCUAUUACCAUUUCAAGGUGUGUUUCUUUCCCAGGAGUCGGCAUAUGCGAGAGCUGUCCACAGUGGCAGAAAAUGUGCGAAGAUGUUGUCACGGGUAACUGUUUUUAUUUCACGUCGGCGCCACCCGCGUUGUCGCUGGCGAGGGACUCGACCCAGGCAUUGGCGUCGGGGGUCAGGAUGCCGAGUUUCCAGACGUCGGUCUUCGUAGUCGGUGGACGAAGUCCAGGCAUCUGCUACCUUAGGCGGUGUUGCUGAAAAGAAGAAAAAGGGGAAGAAGAUUAGAAAUAUAUUAAAUACAAGGAUGGCAGCCACAUAGAUUCAGUUCUUGGACUUGCCUGGAACAAGGAGUUUAGAUAUGGCUCAUUUGAAAGAGACUAACAAUGGGACAAGGACUGGGAGAUUUUCCAAAUCUCCAUCAACUGACCCCUAUGUGCUUGUUCUAGUCAUUGAUGACUUUAAGGGGGACUUCUGAUUCGAUGCACUAUUUGGAAAGUUGGUUAACAAGCUGUUACCUCUGAAGGGAGUGAUGCAACUGAUGCUUAUGGCCAAUAGUCAUUUGAAUGCAGCAAAAGCAGCCCAAGUGCCAUGGAAUCUGUUUUUCCUGAAGUUGAUUUUCUAUUAUCUUUGUUUAAGAAUUCAUGUAUGCAGUUGGUUAAUCUUAGGAAAUAGGUGGUUAAUCUUAGGAAUCUUUCAGUUAAUUUCCUUUCAGUGUUCUGCUAUUCACUAGAUGAUCUCCCUAAUAUUGAUGUUUGUUCUCAGAUUGAUCAGAAACCUAGAAUGAUAAAACUGAAAUUUCUGCUCAAGACUCUAAGCAUCGGAAGACGCUUUCUGAGCUGGAAAAAUGUGUUGAUGGCUUGUUUGAUAGUUUUGCAAGGUUGGAUUCACGUAUAUAUAGUGUUGGCCAAACUGCUGCUAACGUAGGCGACCACCAGCAGGUAUGUUUGUUCUCAGAUUGAUCAGAAACUCUAGAAUGAUAAAACUGAAAUUUCUGCUCAAGACUCUAAGCAUCGGAAGACGCUUUCUGAGCUGGAAAAAUGUCUUGAUGGCUUGUUUGAUAGUUUUGCAAGGUUGGAUUCACGUAUAUAUAGUGUUGGCCAAACUGCUACUAACGUAGGAGACCACCUGCAGGUAAAGAUGCUUAAAAAGGAACAUAAAAAGGCAGAAGAACAUGAAAAGGCAGAAGAUAGGGAUCCUAAUAAUCUCAUUUCCAGCACCAUCACUUCAUCAAUGCAGAGUUUUUCAGUGAUGUAAUUAACCGGGGAAGAAAUACCAUGUUUUUUUUAGUACAGGAAGAAAUUCAAUGUAAUUUGUUUUUGUUUUUCGAGGAAACCAUGUUAUUUUUUAUUUACGGAGACGCCUGCUUGGUGGCAUUUGUUUCUUAUUUUUUUGGGGGGCAGACCGGGGUGAUGUCUAUAUAAAUUUUCCAGAUUUUUUUCAAAGUGGAGUAAAUUUGAUUUUGACUGUA
Salvia miltiorrhiza (redroot sage) is the source of this 4180-nucleotide RNA transcript. RefSeq lists it as uncharacterized. The transcript is spliced from 13 exons. The record is from RefSeq and is a predicted model, not a curated record. Lineage: Eukaryota; Viridiplantae; Streptophyta; Magnoliopsida; Lamiales; Lamiaceae.